Molecule: long non-coding RNA, 1409 nt
Filed under: Gossypium barbadense (sea-island cotton)
Lineage: Eukaryota; Viridiplantae; Streptophyta; Magnoliopsida; Malvales; Malvaceae
Description: long non-coding RNA (GBAR_LNC003797)
Source: RNAcentral
GCCAGUAUAUAAAGCGCACGAUUGUGCGAGGACUAGAAAUGGGAAUAUCCCCGAUUCCAAAGCGCAGCACUACACCGUGGACUAAAAUGAAAAUGUUUGCGAAUUAGGGAACCAAAUAAUAAAAAAAGGGGGAAAAUAACAAGUAAGGCACAAUUGCAUGCCCGCGUAAAAGAGGAGGACUAAACCCACAAAUAACCCUUCACCGCAAAAACACGUUGGUCCCGAGGGUAUUCGGGUCGGAUCCGAUCAGGCGUGGUCCGUACGGCGUCGUUUUAGGGCUACCAGGUUAAGCCUUAAACGACAUCACUUCCUCCUGUAAGUUAAAAAGAAAAAGAAAGAGAAAACCUAAGGUAAAUCUAAGCGCCGCAGCAACAAAAGAGGGAAAAUGAAAGGGAAAACCCUAAGAGUUCGCCCCUUUUUCAAUCUGCUAUCCGGCCACCGUCAUUCCACCAUUGAAAUCGGUGGACGAGAGCCUGCAGAGGAACCGUCCUAUAUCUAAGCUUUAAACCUCAUAUCGAAAGUCAGACUUUACCCUCGAGGGACCGAUCUCAGCCUUCAAUUUCGGCGAAGAGGAAACCGUCUCCGAUGGCUCGUAUGCGAAGGUAAGGCCUCACUUUUCUUCCUUUUCGAUUCUUAUGUUCGAAAUGUGCAAUAUAUAAAACUGGAGAAACAAGAAACGGAGGGGAAAACGAAUCAAAAAAAGGAACCUGAAUCUGAAUCUCACCUUUCAAUUUCUUUUGCGUUUUGUAUUUCCAAAUGUAUCGAUUGUGCGCGUAACCUUUUACAAAGACUAAAAUUCUCGCUUUAUAGCUGAAAAUGGUAGAAAUAAAAAAAUAACAAUACAAAUUCUUUCUUUGCUUUCGCAUUGGGUAUGUGCUACUGUUGUUUUGUCGUUUGUUUUCUUUCGCAGUUACAGGUGCGUUGGCGCUCGGGUACGGGUCUGGGCUGGCGUACGGAGGCGGUGUGCAUGGCUGCUGGAGGGUACGGAGGCCAGGGCCGAGGCUUGGCUGCGGCGCGAGAGAGAGAGAACCUUAGGGUUCUGUCUGUUCUAAAAAAAUUUUGGGCCAUUUGGGCCGGUGUCAUUGUGGGGUUGGGUCUAGUUUAGUUAUUGAGUCUAGAUUUAGCUAUUUUGGUCUUGGGUUUUAAUAUUAGUUUGGGCUUGUAAUAGGUAUUAGCCUGUAAGAGGACAUUAAAUGGACUAUGGAUUUAUUUAUUUAUUUAUUUUUUUGGUUUCUAGUGGGCCCAGGCCAAAAUUGGUGAUUAUAAUAUUCUUAUUAAGAUAUCAUAAUAUUAACUACAUUAUUUAAAUGCAUAUUUAUUACUUUAUAACAUAAUGUCUAAAAUAGACAUUUUAUUUAUUAAAAGUACUUUUUGACAGCAAUACUAAACACUUAAAUCUCAAAUUGAAC